UUUGUUGGCUCAGGAUUUGCCAACCCUUGUCUUUUCCAUGGAGUAAAUUUACCAACUUUCAUAUAUAAAUCAAACAAACCUGCUUCAAAUAUUAUUUCCACUUGGACUCUUCAACGCAAGUACCAAACAGGUCCCAUUCCUCCUGUCCCCUCUCCUCGCCUCCCCUCCAAGUUUCACAACCAAACAAGUACGAAGGGGUUGCCCUUGUGCAGCUCAAUCUAUGGCGAGACGAGCCGAUGCGAGUGCUUCUGUAUUAGAAAUUGACCCUCCUUGCUUGUUAUGUGUUUUGUAAUUUGGAGAUGAUGCCGCCGGUUUUUCUUACUCAAACUCGUGUACUGCAAUUUUAGAACAAUGAAUGCACCUUGCUGGAUUACUUACGGGUAGGGGUGUUUAAAAAAACCGAUUAACCGAAAGAACCGAGAGAACCGAUAAAAAAUUAACUGAGAAAACCGAACCGAGAUAGAAAACCGAUUAAACCGAUUUUUAAAACCAUAAAAUCUUUCUGGUUCGAUUUCGGUUUGACCACUUAAACCGGUGAACCGAACCGGUAGUAUAAAUAACACAGCAAACCACUAAGCUUAACCCUAAUUGACAUUAUCUGAAGCCGCCGCCCACACCAAAGAGCAAAGAUGAUUUAUCGCCUUCUCCCUUCUGCAUCUGUCUUGCCCCAUUGCCCCUGCAUCUGUCUUGACUCUUACCCUUCAAUUUUCAUUCUCUUUGCGUCUUACCCCCUGCAUCUGUCUCUUCUCUAACCGAACAAUAAGUCAACAACCCACAUCUCCACAUCCAUUUAGUCUACUUGCAGCCGAACAAAAACCCGAACAAAACCCCUUGGCUUCUCUCUUCACUUGCAGCAGAAAGAGAGGGCUCCUCUAUUAGAGAAAAGGCGGCAAGCUAGGGUUUCUGCAUCUUUCUUCAGCAUUAUCCUUGCUGGAUCUUUUGGCUUUUGCUGUUGCUGGAAGUUUUGGAUGCUACUGUAGUGCUGGUGUCAGAUUUUUUUUUCUUUAAAUUAUGACGGAUGUUUAUGAUAAUUUAUUACUGG
Molecule: long non-coding RNA, 1042 nt
Organism: Populus trichocarpa (black cottonwood)
Lineage: Eukaryota; Viridiplantae; Streptophyta; Magnoliopsida; Malpighiales; Salicaceae
Exons: 3
Source: RefSeq, a predicted model, not a curated record